RNAcentral lists this ribosomal RNA (492 nucleotides) under uncultured bacterium. RNAcentral's name for it is "partial 16S ribosomal RNA". It matches the Rfam family "Bacterial small subunit ribosomal RNA", at positions 29 to 507 of the family's 1533-position model. The record is from RNAcentral.
AGUGAACGCUGGCGGUAGGCCUAACACAUGCAAGUCGAACGGCAGCACAGUAAGAGCUUGCUCUUACGGGUGGCGAGUGGCGGACGGGUGAGGAAUACAUCGGAAUCUACUUUUUCGUGGGGGAUAACGUAGGGAAACUUACGCUAAUACCGCAUACGACCUACGGGUGAAAGCAUGGGAUCUUCGGACCUUGCGCGAUUGAAUGAGCCGAUGUCGGAUUAGCUAGUUGGCGGGGUAAAGGCCCACCAAGGCGACGAUCCGUAGCUGGUCUGAGAGGAUGAUCAGCCACACUGGAACUGGGACACGGACCAGACUCCUACGGGAGGCAGCAGUGGGGAAUAUUGGACAAUGGGCGCAAGCCUGAUCCAGCCAUACCGCGUGGGUGAAGAAGGCCUUCGGGUUGUAAAGCCCUUUUGUGGGGAAAGAAAAGCAGCAGGUUAAUACCCCGCUGUUCUGACGGUACCCAAAGAAUAAGCACCGGCUAACUUCGUG